CCUACGGGCGGCUGCAGUGGGGAAUAUUGGACAAUGGGGGGAACCCUGAUCCAGCCAUGCCGCGUGUGUGAAGAAGGCCCUCGGGUUGUAAAGCACUUUCAGUGAGGAAGAACGCCUGGUGGUUAAUACCCAUCAGGAAAGACGUCACUCACAGAAGAAGCACCGGCUAACUCCGUGCCAGCAGCCGCGGUAAUACGGAGGGUGCGAGCGUUAAUCGGAAUUACUGGGCGUAAAGCGCGCGUAGGUGGCUUGAUAAGCCGGUUGUGAAAGCCCCGGGCUCAACCUGGGAACGGCAUCCGGAACUGUCAAGCUAGAGUGCAGGAGAGGAAGGUAGAAUUCCCGGUGUAGCGGUGAAAUGCGUAGAGAUCGGGAGGAAUACCAGUGGCGAAGGCGGCCUUCUGGACUGACACUGACACUGAGGUGCGAAAGCGUGGGUAGCAAACAGGAUUAGAUACCCCAGUAGUC
Molecule: ribosomal RNA, 465 nt
Filed under: Vreelandella stevensii
Lineage: Bacteria; Pseudomonadati; Pseudomonadota; Gammaproteobacteria; Oceanospirillales; Halomonadaceae
Description: partial 16S ribosomal RNA
Rfam family: Bacterial small subunit ribosomal RNA
Source: RNAcentral